Molecule: ribosomal RNA, 164 nt
Filed under: uncultured bacterium
Lineage: Bacteria
Description: partial 16S rRNA
Rfam family: Bacterial small subunit ribosomal RNA
Source: RNAcentral
UGGGGAAUAUUGGACAAUGGGCGAAAGCCUGAUCCAGCCAUGCCGCGUGUGUGAAGAAGGUCUUCGGAUUGUAAAGCACUUUAAGUUGGGAGGAAGGGCAGUAAGUUAAUACCUUGCUGUUUUGACGUUACCGACAGAAUAAGCACCGGCUAACUCUGUGGCAG